UCCUCUACCUUCAGAGGGCUGCCCUCUUUAUGAAAGGAACAUGCAGGCAUUUUAUCAUGAAUGGCUGCUUGCUUUGUACCUUCAGAUGGUCUUUCGUCUUGACCCUCCCUCGUGGUUGACUUUUUCACCUCUCCAUUCAAGAGAUGCCCAGCUGGGAAGUGGGAAAUUGGCAGGCUACUGCCCAGCCUUGAUGAAGAAUAGAANUGUCGCAAAGGGAGAGAGAAAGUUUGCUAGCAGACUGAAGAAAUCAUAGCGGAUUAUGAACUUUUGUCAAUAGUUUUGAAGCAAACGUUUAAUUGUUGGAAGAGGCAAGCAUUUGUCAAGGAAAUGAACGACAGUGGCUAGCCUAUAAGGGCAAAGCAGGCAGUGUCCCAUUGGUAUCCACUAGCUCCCAAGCUGGAGUCCACUCCUCCUUUCUGCCUGUUUCAAUUCAAGGUUGGCCGAUAAAUGCACAGUAAAAAUGGGGGAAAAACUAAAAUAUUUUAUAAAAUAUUUUGUGUCAUGUCAAGAGAUUUGAAGAACCAUCAUGUUUGAAAGGAGUGGAAGAAAAGGAGCAAUCCUGGGAGCAUCUUACAUCAGGCUCAACAUAGUGCCCCCUAUACCUGCAUUACUGUAUUGUAUUCUUGCAAUCCAAUUUCAUGUAAAGUAUGCCAUUUCAUGAGAUCUGUGUGAAAAGUGGUAUACAAAAUACAAACAAUCUUUUUUAAUCUCAAAAAUUUUGAAUUUCUCUCCCACCUCAUUCUAGCAUGGCUGAGGGGAGAACUUUCCAGACCAAGAUUUUACAAUCUUUUAUAUUUUGGGCAAUACAAAAAAUAGAUAAUAAGAUUAAGAAAUGAUACACACUGCAGCUCCCUAAAUUUUAUUAAAAAAACUGUUAUUCUUCUACCAUAGAAUAGAUAACAAAGUAUUCAUACUUAAUAUUAGUAAAGUCAUCUUUCAAUCUAUGCAGCCUACCAAAGGUAUUCUUUUUAGUUGCCAUUUUUAAACUAUUUACAGACUUGCUUGCUUAUUUUUAAAUGACCAAAUGUUAGUGGGAGAGGGAACAAGAUGAGAAAGUUUAUGGNCUCUUCAAAGUUGAAUGAACAGACAAGUGAUUUUCAGAUUUCCUCUAAGGUAAGAUUUCUCAGUAGCACAAAGACAUGGGAGUCCACACAUUAAGAGCUCAUCUACACCUAAGUUUUAAUUCAGCUGCAGUCCACCUUUGGAGUGAGAAAACACAUCAGCAAAGUGCCUAGUCAGUUUCUUUCCACAUUAUCUAACCCAAAGGUGAAUUUUCUGCGUUAAAUAAUGCCAAGGGAAACCAGCUUGUACUUUGCUGAUGUGUUCUCAGUCUGAAAGUGGACUGAUGCUGAAUUAAAACUUAAGGUGUAGAUGGGUCAUUAUGAUAAAAGGAAGGAGGAGAUCCAGUGCUGUGAAAAAGUAUUUGCCCCCUUCCUCAUAUUACUGCUUAGUAGAAAGAUUCAAAGUAAAUAAAAAUAUAUCAGUUUGCCCCA
This 1493-nucleotide long non-coding RNA is filed under the name Salvator merianae (Argentine black and white tegu). Its description in RNAcentral is "lncRNA (ENSSMRG00000015638.1)". Lineage: Eukaryota; Metazoa; Chordata; Lepidosauria; Squamata; Teiidae. The record is from RNAcentral.